UUGUGGUGGUGGUGGAUAUAGGUUGUUAAUUCCCAAUGGACGAGAUGAUCCUUGUGGUGGUGAUAUUUGUAGUGAUGGUUGUGUUUGUGCUGGUGGUGUGGUGUGUGUUGGUAUUGGCUUUUGUACUGGGGGUGGAUACAAGUUGUUAUUAGAAUGAGGUGGUCCUUGUGGUGGUGAUGUUUGUACUGAUGGUGAUAUUUGUGUUAAUGGUGGUGGUGGACGAGGUGAGUUUUGUGGUGAUGGUUGUAGUUGUUGGAAAUAAGUUCUGUUGUAAUCUGGAUGAGGUGAGCCCUGUGGUGAUGGUUGUAUUUGUUGCUGGAAAUAAGUGUUACCAUCCGCUGGAUGAGGUGAUUCUUGUGGCGAUGAUGUCUCUGGAUAAGAACACUUGGUUCUCAAAGGAGGAAGUGAUCCUGGUAGUGGAAAUGAUAACGGCUCUGUCCCACCAG
RNAcentral lists this long non-coding RNA (446 nucleotides) under Panax ginseng (ginseng). Its description in RNAcentral is "long non-coding RNA (PGIN_LNC012134)". The record is from RNAcentral. Lineage: Eukaryota; Viridiplantae; Streptophyta; Magnoliopsida; Apiales; Araliaceae.